Molecule: long non-coding RNA, 1078 nt
Organism: Zonotrichia leucophrys gambelii
Lineage: Eukaryota; Metazoa; Chordata; Aves; Passeriformes; Passerellidae
Exons: 3
Source: RefSeq, a predicted model, not a curated record
UGAUGUUCACACCUGCCAGAGCUGCAGAUCCAGCUGUGCAUUACCAAAGCAGCAGGAGCCUUUCUGCUCCACUCCCACUCUGUCCUGCCCAGCAGUGCCCUGGGAUAAGAGCAGGAGCAGGCUGCUGGGAGGCAGAGCUGCAGCAGAACACGAGAGAGGAAGGCAAAGCACCCAGAGGGAAACAGCCUGAGCAAGGGCAAAGACCAAGGCUUCAGAGGAGCAACAGCAGGUUCCUGGAUGGCAGAGAGCAGCCUCAGCACUGCGUGAGGAGCCCGGUGUGAAGCAACCUGAGCCUCUCCAGAGCAGCUCAGUCCUGCUGAGGCCCUGUCCCAUGGUGCAGGGAGUGACCCCACAGAGGGGAUGGACGCUGUCUGGUGCAAAGGGACUGAGCAAACGGACUUCAAGGAGCUUAGUGGAUAAAUCCAAGAACAUACUGCCAAACAGAUGAGCAAAGUGCAGGUGAGGAUUUAUCUUCAGCAGAGUUCAAGUUUAGAGACACAUCACAAGACAGAUCCCAGAUCUGUGUUAGGUACCGACACAAGAACUUAGGAACUCGGAGCAGGUAAUCCAGAGCUGAGGGAGAGGGGGUUUGAAUAGGAUGGUCACCAAAAAAAAAAAUCCACAUUCCAGCAUGGAAAGCAUCUGUGGGAUAAGAGAUCUCUGGGGCAGGAGGAGGCAGACUGCUAACAGGAAGAGCAGAUUGCAAUGUCCCCAGCCGGUGCUGCAGGCUGAGCUCUCCUCUCCUAACUGCAGCUGUGGACCAGGGUGAUGUGAAAAACAGCAGACUGACUGGCUCACAAAGCAGUGAAUGGAAUCACAUCCAAGCUGUCUGUGUCCUGCUGGCCACCUCCCUGUGCCAGCAGUGGGAGCAAAGCUGUCCUGGUGAACAUUGCUGCUGCCCAGGCAGGGAAGGGGUGCACUGGGAGCUCUGGGUCCUCUGCUCCACUUCCCAGGCACAAAGGGGCUGCCCUUUGGGACACCAUCCCAGGAAGUCAUACCAGAAGUGGCCUUCAGUCCUGGUGCCAUUCCCACAAGGGGGUUUUCCCCCCACCCUUACCCCCUGUCUGCCACCUCUCAC